UGGUGGAGUGAUUCGUCUGGUUAAUUCCGUUAACGAACGAGACCUCGACCUGCUAAAUAGUCGGGCGUACCUUCGGGUACGUUUCUGUACUUCUUAGAGGGACUGUCGGUUUAUAGCCGAAGGAAGUUCGAGGCAAUAACA
Molecule: ribosomal RNA, 141 nt
Filed under: uncultured eukaryote
Lineage: Eukaryota
Description: partial 18S ribosomal RNA
Rfam family: Eukaryotic small subunit ribosomal RNA
Source: RNAcentral